CGCUGCUGCGGCGACGCGACGCGCAACCGCGCCCGCGGGGAGGGGAGGCGGGGACAGGACGCUCGGCGCUCCCCCGCUGGCGAGCAGAAGGCCUCAGACGUCGCGUCCUGAGCGCUUGUAGCCCAAAUCUGAGUGCGCGUGGAGUAGCAGGAAAGGCACAGCUGGCUGGGUACAGACGCGUACCUCGAAGUUGUUCUGCACGUUCGAAAAGCGACUCCUUACCCCGAGGGCGGGGCUGGGGCUGGGGCAGGUGGCCACGGAGGGGGCAGCUCGUCUGGGCUCCUGCUUGCGCUCAGCUGCCGCUGAGGAGAAAAGAAAAGGGAAAAAAAAGAAGGAAAGACAACGAACCGACGCGCUGAAAGUGGUCGAGGAGUCCAGAACCGGCGGGGGACCUUUGGAGGGCGCAGCCCGGCCCCGGGUCCGGGACCCCUGCCCGGCCGGCCCUCGGAGGGGCCCCUGGAGCCUGGCUGGGCGCCGGCAGUUCCCUUCAACUAUUCUCUUUUCUCGCUUUUCUUUUCAAAUAAAAAAGGCUCGAAGGGAGAGAGAGCUGGGAGGACUCCAAGCCUUUUCGGAUUUGUUCAAGGAUUUUUAUUUAUUUAUUUUCACUUUUAUUGACUUCGUUUCUGUUAUUUCGAGUCGUCACGAUCCACGGGUGAGGAGACAUGCAGGGCGCAUCGCCGCUACCGAGAGAGCAACUACGGGCGGGGCGGCCAG
This 714-nucleotide long non-coding RNA is filed under the name Dasypus novemcinctus (nine-banded armadillo). Its description in RNAcentral is "lncRNA (ENSDNOG00000052090.1)". Lineage: Eukaryota; Metazoa; Chordata; Mammalia; Cingulata; Dasypodidae. The record is from RNAcentral.